CAGAAGAUAAUUUAUUAAAAAUAUUAACAUUGGAAGUUAAAAAAUUAGGGUAUAAACCUUAUCUUUUGA
RNAcentral lists this transfer RNA (69 nucleotides) under Sepioloidea lineolata. RNAcentral describes it as "tRNA-Pro". The record is from RNAcentral. Lineage: Eukaryota; Metazoa; Mollusca; Cephalopoda; Sepiida; Sepiadariidae.